RNAcentral lists this transfer RNA (73 nucleotides) under Ixodes scapularis (black-legged tick). RNAcentral describes it as "tRNA-Thr". The record is from RNAcentral. Lineage: Eukaryota; Metazoa; Arthropoda; Arachnida; Ixodida; Ixodidae.
ACCCCUGAAGCUCAGUUGGUAGAGCGCUCCACCUGUAAUGGAGAGUACGGGUUCGAUAGCCGGACCAGGCGGA